Molecule: ribosomal RNA, 530 nt
Filed under: uncultured fungus
Lineage: Eukaryota; Fungi
Description: eukaryotic LSU rRNA
Rfam family: 5.8S ribosomal RNA (bases 185-330)
Source: RNAcentral
CUUGGUCAUUUAGAGGAAGUAAAAGUCGUAACAAGGUUUCCGUAGGUGAACCUGCGGAAGGAUCAUUACAAAUCUUUUGCGAGUGCUGCGCUUGCGUAGUAUCUCACAACAUUAGCACAAGGUCGCAAGGCCUUGAUGUUUACGCUUGUUUGUUUGACAGAGUUAGUUGAGACAAUAAAAAGACAACUUUUAACAAUGGAUCUCUUGGCUCUUGCAACGAUGAAGAACGCAGUAAAGUGCGAUAUGUAGUGCGAUUUGCAUGAAUCUGUGAGUCAUCUAAUCUUUGAACGCAACUUGCGCCUCUUACGAGGCAUGUCUGUUUGAGUGCCGUAAUCCUCUGCAGCAAUGCGAUUUGACUCUUGUCUUUGUUGACCGAGUUUAAAGGGAGCUAGAGGAUGGUCAGUUUAGACUAGUCCGAGUGCUAAGCAUUCUUGGGUCUAGCGCUGGAUUGCUCAUUGUAUCUAUUUUUUAUUUUGGCCUCAAAUCAGGCAAGACUACCCGCUGAACUUAAGCAUAUCAAUAAGCGGAGA